GUGCUCACUUCAGCAGCACAUAUACUAAAAUUGGAAUACAGAGAAGAUUAGCACGGCCUCCACGCAAGGAUGACACCCAAAAUCGUGAAGCUUCCAUAUUUUUU
This is a small nuclear RNA of Suricata suricatta (meerkat), 104 nucleotides long. The record is from Ensembl. NCBI's taxonomy places the organism in Eukaryota, Metazoa, Chordata, Mammalia, Carnivora, Herpestidae.